GAUGAAGAACGCAGCAAAAUGCGAUAAGUAAUGUGAAUUGCAGAAUUCAGUGAAUCAUCGAAUCUUUGAACGCACAUUGCGCCCGCUGGUAUUCCGGCGGGCAUGCCUGUUCGAGCGUCAUUUCAACCCUCAAACCCCCCGGGUUUGGUGUUGGGGAUCGGCUCUGCCUCACGGCGGUGCCGCCCCCGAAAUACAUUGGCGGUCUCGCUGCAGCCUCCAUUGCGUAGUAGCUAACACCUCGCAACUGGAACGCGGCGCGGCCAUGCCGUAAAACCCCAACUUCUGAAUGUUGACCUCGGAUCAGGUAGGAAUACCCGCUGAACUUAAGCAUAUCAAUAAGCGGAGG
RNAcentral lists this unclassified non-coding RNA (346 nucleotides) under soil metagenome. RNAcentral describes it as "partial contains 5.8S ribosomal RNA, internal transcribed spacer 2, and large subunit ribosomal RNA". The stretch from base 1 to 120 matches the Rfam family "5.8S ribosomal RNA", at positions 35 to 154 of the family's 154-position model. The record is from RNAcentral.